UCAAAUUGUGAAAAUUUCAUUAUGACAUAAUUAUUACAUAAUUAAUUAUUAUGUAAUUAGUCGCUAUAUUGUGAUGUCCACACUUGAAUGAAUUUAGCGUCUUUGUUUUUCAUAGCAUCUCAAAAUAUUUUAUAGAUUCUUGUACAACACAGCUUGACCUCCAAAACUGUGUCUCAGAUUUCCAAAAACAUCAAUAGAACAAAUUUUAUACCCAAUUGAACUUAGUGGUCUCUAAUGAAUUGAUGUUGCAAACUUCAUUGAAGAUUUAUGAGAGAAUGAAAUACAAUAGGAAAAAUCUGAGACACAGUUUUGGAGGUCAAACUGUGUUGUGCAAGAAUCUAUAACUUUUUUAAGGAUGCUACGAAGAACAAAGAAG
This 376-nucleotide long non-coding RNA is filed under the name Mytilus galloprovincialis (Mediterranean mussel). Lineage: Eukaryota; Metazoa; Mollusca; Bivalvia; Mytilida; Mytilidae. The record is from RNAcentral.